AUUGAACGCUGGCGGAAUGCUUUACACAUGCAAGUCGAGCGGCAGCGCGGGGGCAACCCUGGCGGCGAGCGGCGAACGGGUGAGUAACAUAUCGGAACGUACCCCGUCGUGGGGGAUAACACAGCGAAAGCUGUGCUAAUACCGCAUACGACCUGAGGGUGAAAGCGGGGGAUCGCAAGACCUCGCGCGAUGGGAGCGGCCGAUAUCGGAUUAGCUUGUUGGUGAGGUAAAGGCUCACCAAGGCGACGAUCCGUAGCUGGUCUGAGAGGACGACCAGCCACACUGGAACUGAGACACGGUCCAGACUCCUACGGGAGGCAGCAGUGGGGAAUUUUGGGACAAUGGGGGGCAACCCUGAUCCAGCCAUGCCGCGUGAGUGAAGAAGGCCU
RNAcentral lists this ribosomal RNA (389 nucleotides) under uncultured bacterium. RNAcentral describes it as "bacterial SSU rRNA". It matches the Rfam family "Bacterial small subunit ribosomal RNA", at positions 29 to 417 of the family's 1533-position model. The record is from RNAcentral.